Molecule: non-coding RNA, 81 nt
Filed under: bovine gut metagenome
Description: Cyclic di-GMP-I riboswitch
Rfam family: c-di-GMP-I riboswitch aptamer
About the family: GEMM was predicted in a large-scale screen for bacterial structured RNA regulatory elements. Genes associated with GEMM are involved in a diverse array of functions, including chemotaxis regulation, signal transduction, secretion and chitin.
Source: RNAcentral
AUGUAAAUGGCAAACUUAUGGAAACAUAAGGACGCAAAGCCAAGGGCCUAAACUUUGUAUAGUAUGGUAGCCGGCUACCAA